AUUCAAUCAAGAAAAAGUUAUCUGAGAUUGAGUUAUUCCAAGUUUUCGACAAGGAAACUGAGUAUCAAGCCUUAAUUAAUGACAAUGAGUUACUUCGUCGUCAAAACAAGGAAUUGCGGGAUGAAAAUGAUGGACUCAUCUUGGAAAUGGAAAGAAUGAAUCAAAAGUUAGAGAGGAGACAAAAGAAAGGAUCCAAACAUGAUGCUGCUUCAUCAAUGAAAAGAAUGAGAAGUUAUCACAAAAACUGGGCCAAUGAGAUCUGAUAUUAUUGAAUGAGAAGAUUAAGCGUUUUUUUCUGUUAUAUACUCAUAGAGAUGAAAGAGAGAGAAAGAAAAAUGAAAAAUUAUUUCAAACUAUGGCGAUCCCAAAUCAAAAAAGAGGUGAUUAGACAACCUUCCCACACUUUCAACAUCUAUAAUUAUGUCUCUUCUAAUAUUGUUAUUAAAAAUGAUGUUACCAUUGCUCCUUUUCUGUCGCUGAUGAUUAACACACGCUACCAAAUGCAAAAGAAAACGGAAAAUUAAUGGAGAUGGGCAUGCUGAUUAUCUCAUCAAAUCCAAGUUUCUUCAGCUAAUAGUUUAUUUCUCAAUCCCUCCCUCACUCAAUCAUCUCAAUCAAUCAAAUUCCACCAAAGAUUUUCAUUUGUGGCCUCAUUCAGCUGGAUUCUGGUUUAGACAUAAUAUUCCGGCCAACAUAGUGCAUUCAUGUUUUUGUCCCAUAUUUGACCAAUGUUAAUACUCGUGACGCCUUUUGCUCCUGACUUUAUCAAGGACUCUUUGUAUUAUCUUGUUUUAUCGCAAUCUAAGCCCUAUUGAAAGUGACCUCGUCCGUAUUUUAAAUGGAUUGUUAAUUUGGUUGCUUGGUAUCCAUCCAAAUUUUGUUAUAGAUUACACUUUUCGUACGGCUAAAUACUUGGAAACCUUGGCUGCAAAAAAAAAAGAAACUUCAAGCCCUCCAAAUCAGUGCAUUCAAUGACAAAGUAUAUAAAAGCAAAAA
Molecule: non-coding RNA, 996 nt
Organism: Tetranychus urticae (two-spotted spider mite)
Lineage: Eukaryota; Metazoa; Arthropoda; Arachnida; Trombidiformes; Tetranychidae
Source: RefSeq, a predicted model, not a curated record